Molecule: RNA transcript, 3506 nt
Organism: Brassica rapa (field mustard)
Lineage: Eukaryota; Viridiplantae; Streptophyta; Magnoliopsida; Brassicales; Brassicaceae
Gene name: probable inactive leucine-rich repeat receptor-like protein kinase At3g03770
Source: RefSeq, a predicted model, not a curated record
ACAACUUUUUGUUGUCUUCUUUUUCUUUCGAAAAUAUUUUGCUAAAGGGUUUUCAUUCUUUCGAAAAUAUUUUGCUGGGUUAAUAUUGUUCUCAUAGUAUACUCUGUUUUUAUCCUUACAAAAACACAACCACUCACUCGUGAAAGAAUCUUAAAUGUUUUCAAUGCUCCUUGAGGAAUUUUCCUCUGCUUCAGGGGAUUUUCUUGGGAACUUUCUCUUCUAAAAAAAAAAAUAUCAAGAUUCGUUUCACAGUUGCUUCAUAAGUUUGCAGAGGCAUUUCUUCAUCUCAAAGGAAACUUUUUUUCCAGGAAAAUAAAAUUUCAAGGUAGUCUCUUGAGCUCAAAACUAUCAGCAUUUCUUCUUCCUGCAAGGUGUCUAAGAAUCUAAAACACAAGUGGUGUAUGAUGAUCAUGAUUCCUAAGUGAUUAUAUUUUCCUAAGUAGUUUGUGUGUUUAUGGUCUUGUGUGUGGCUAUGGAGAAACACUUUUUUGGCAUGCCAUUACUGCUUCUAGUUCUGCUUUUAUCCUCCAUAGACAGAUCAACACAGCUUCAAUCAUCUCAAUCUCAAACCCUUUUGAGGCUGCAACAGCUUCUCCACUAUCCCAAUGUCUUAAACAGCUGGAACAACUUCACAGACUUCUGCAACUCGGAGCCAAAUGCCUCUCUAACCGUUGUGUGCUACGAAGAUAGUGUAACGCAGCUCCACAUUAUAGGAGACAGGAAAGCUCACAUGUUACCAAAGAGUUUCUCAGUAGACUCAUUUGUCACUACUCUUGUUAAGCUCCCUGAUGUUAAGGUUCUCACCUUAGUGUCCCUUGGAUUAUGGGGUCGGUUACCUGAGAAAAUCAACCGUUUGUACUCGUUAGAGAUUCUCAAUGUGAGUUCUAACUUCCUCUUUGGACCCAUUCCUCAUGAACUCUCCUCUCUUGCAACCCUUCAGACACUCAUACUCGAUGAGAACAUGUUUUCUGGUCGUGUACCGGAUUGGAUUGGUUCUUUACCGAGUUUAGCUGUGUUGAGCUUGAGAAAGAACGCAUUCAACGGCUCAUUACCUUCUUCAUUACGUACCUUGUCAGGUCUUAGAGUGCUUUCUCUAGCUAAUAACCGGUUUAAUGGAGAUUUACCUGAUCUAAGCCGUUUGACAAACCUUCAAGUGCUUGACCUUGAAGGAAACUCUUUCGGACCGUUGUUUCCUCGGUUAAGUCACAAGUUGGUUACUCUUAUACUCAGCAAGAACAGGUUUAGGUCGGCAGUAUCAUCUCAAGAAGUGAGUUCUUUGUAUCAGCUUCAACAUUUGGAUCUUUCAUUCAAUACAUUCGUUGGUCCGUUUCCCACUUCCUUGAUGUCUCUCCCUGCCAUAACUUACUUGAACAUUUCACACAACAAACUCACCGGGCGGCUUUCGACAAAUAUUUCUUGCAACUCAGAGCUGAUGUUUGUGGAUCUCUCAUCGAAUCUUCUUACAGGAAGCUUGCCUGCUUGUCUUAAACCUAGUUCUGGAACUAGCAGAGAUGUUGUCUAUGCAGGUAACUGUUUAGCUACUGCAAAUGAAGACCAGCGUCCAGUUUCUUAUUGUAGCAAUGAAGCUCUUGCUGUUGGAAUCCUACCAAAGAGGAGGAACAGGGUUUCCAAGUUGAGUAUUGCCCUAGGGGUAACCACAGGCAUUCUUGGAAUGAUUCUCCUUGUUGGUGCAUUGUUUGUGGUUCUCAGGAGAAUGAAUGCUAAGAGAACAGCAACGAAAGCUUCACCAAGAUUGAUCAAAGAGAAUGCUUCAUUUGGAUACACAUCAAAGCUACUCUCAGAUGCAAGGUAUAUCUCUCAGACAAUGAAGCUAGGAGCACUAGGUCUUCCUUCUUACAGGACAUUCUCUCUGGAAGAACUUGAGUAUGCAACAAACAACUUUGAAUCCUCUGCUUUCAUGGGUGAAGGUUCUCAAGGACAGAUUUAUAGAGGAAGGUUAAAAGAUGGAUCCUUUGUGGCAAUAAGAUGUUUGAAAAUGAAGAAAAGUUGCAGCACCCAAAACCUGAUGCAUCACAUUGAGCUCAUAGCUAAACUGAGGCACCGUCAUUUGGUUAGCGUGCUAGGGCAUUGUUUUGAGUGCUAUUUAGAUGAUUCAACAGUCAGCAGAAUGUUCUUUGUCUUUGAAUAUGUCCCAAAUGGAGAACUCAGGAGCUGGAUCUCAGAUGGGCAUAUGGGAAGAUUGCUUACUUGGGAACAACGCAUAAGCAUAGCCAUAGGUGCAGCAAAAGGGAUCCAGUUCUUGCAUACUGGUAUUGUACCUGGUGUUUAUGAUAACAACCUAAGAAUAACAGACGUUUUGCUUGAUAAUAACCUCGCUGCAAAAAUCAGUAGCUAUAACCUUCCAUUGCUAGUGGAAGGUCUUGGAAAGGUGGGGCAAGUAGUAUCUCGAACCUGUCCCAAAGGCACUCCAAGGUGUGUUAAAGAAGAAGAUAAGAUCGAUAUCUAUGACUUUGGAGUGAUCUUACUUGAACUUAUAGUGGGAAGACCACUGAGAGCAAAGGCUCAAGUCGAUGUUCUUAAAGAACAGUUACAAGCAAGCAUUUCAGGGGAUGAUGGAGCGCGUAGGAGCAUGGUGGAUCCAACUGUCCAUAGAACUUGUUCAGACCAAUCACUCAAGACGAUGAUGGAGAUAUGUGUAAGGUGUCUCAUCAAAGACCAUUUAGAACGGCCUUCCAUUGAAGAUGUCCUGUGGAAUCUUCAGUUUGCUUCUCAAGUCCAAGAAGGCUGGCUACAAAACAGCAAUCCUCCGAGCAUUCGCGGCUCGCCUUCUCCUGCAGCUUCCUCUCUUCCUCCUCCCUCUCGUUUACACAUAACAACACUUGAAUCUCCCCGUGAUUCAGGAUAUGAAGAACAUGAGAGGUAGGGAGACACGAGUUUUGGUUUGAUCCGUUGUGUGCUCUUCACUAGCCUAUGUUGAGGAACCUAACAAUAAACUGGUUAUUUCAUUAAAAUAUAAACUACCAACUCUACAUUUUUUUGGCUAUACCGUUAGUAUUGCUUACUAUCAUUCUCUUUUUCCAACAUUAUUAAAAAGGAGAAUUAAAGACAACCUAGUUAUAUAUUCAUAUCCGGUGAAAACCCUCGGCCGGAAAUAUAACCUCCGCAGACACCGCCGUGGAACCAACAGCUACCGAAAAAUCAGUACCGCUCUCAUCCUCAUCCUCAUCCUCAUGCUGACUUUGUCUACUUGUUUGAUGCCGUGGCAUAGGCUGCAACGAAUGUUCUAAGUUAGCCGGAGCCAUGACGUCAUAUCCGACGGCCGCUGCUGCUGUCGCGGUAAAUCUGUUCAUGGCGGCUCCGGCAAGAGUGGUGGAGGCGGAUGAAUUAUUGGAGUAUUCAGGUUGUUGCAUAACGAAUAGUUGUUAUUGUUGUUGUUGGUGGUGACUUUGUUGUUGUUGCAUUACGUUGGCCAUUGCGACUCUACUGUUUACUAGUUGUUCCGCCUGUAAUGCGGCCACCUAAUAUAUUCAUGGUUACAAAACUAA